Molecule: ribosomal RNA, 472 nt
Filed under: uncultured bacterium
Lineage: Bacteria
Description: bacterial SSU rRNA
Rfam family: Bacterial small subunit ribosomal RNA
Source: RNAcentral
UGGGGAAUAUUGGACAAUGGGCGAAAGCCUGAUCCAGCCAUGCCGCGUGUGUGAAGAAGGUCUUCGGAUUGUAAAGCACUUUAAGUUGGGAGGAAGGGCAGUAAAUUAAUACUUUGCUGUUUUGACGUUACCGACAGAAUAAGCACCGGCUAACUCUGUGCCAGCAGCCGCGGUAAUACAGAGGGUGCAAGCGUUAAUCGGAAUUACUGGGCGUAAAGCGCGCGUAGGUGGUUAGUUAAGUUGGAUGUGAAAUCCCCGGGCUCAACCUGGGAACUGCAUUCAAAACUGACUGACUAGAGUAUGGUAGAGGGUGGUGGAAUUUCCUGUGUAGCGGUGAAAUGCGUAGAUAUAGGAAGGAACACCAGUGGCGAAGGCGACCACCUGGACUGAUACUGACACUGAGGUGCGAAAGCGUGGGGAGCAAACAGGAUUAGAUACCCCCGUAGUCCCUGAGCGGGCUGGCAAGGCGCAU